This 1452-nucleotide ribosomal RNA is filed under the name Triticum aestivum (bread wheat). Its description in RNAcentral is "partial small subunit ribosomal RNA". The record is from RNAcentral. Lineage: Eukaryota; Viridiplantae; Streptophyta; Magnoliopsida; Poales; Poaceae.
AUGGCGCAAAAGGCGGCCGACGUAGCAGCCACGAGCGGCGCUGGCAAGGCCAACCCGCACGCGGUGGUGGUGGUGUACCCGCAGCAGGGCCACGUGAUCCCGGUGACGCUCCUCUCGCUGCGCCUGGCGGCACGGGCCUUCGCCGUUACGGUCGUCAACACGGAGGCCGUGCACGACCAGACGGCGCGCGUCGGGGAUGGACGUGCGCUACGAGCUUAUCAGCGACGGCCUUCCCGUGGGGUUCGACUGGUCGCUGAACCACGACGAGUUCAUGGGCUCGCUGCUCCACGCGCACUCCGGCCACGUCGAGGAGGUGCUCGGCCGCGUCGUGGUCGACCCGGCCGCGACGUGCCUCGUCGCCGACACCUUCUUCGUGUGGCCGGUGACGCUGGCCAGCAAGUUCGGCAUCGCGUACGUGUCCUUCUGGACGGAGCCCGCGCUCAUCUUCAACCUCUACUACCACGUUCACCUGCUCACCAACAACGGCCACUUCGAUUGCAACGAGCCUCGGAAGGACACGAUCACCUACAUUCUUGGCGUGCCGGCGAUCGAGCUGCACGAACUCAUACUUCACUCGCUCAUGUCGUACCUCCAGGAGACGGACACCACCAGCGUGGUGCACUACAUCAUCUUCAAGGCCUUCGAAGAGGCGGCGGCGCCGACUACGUUCUCUGCAACACCGUGGAGGAGCUGGAGCCAUCCACCAUCGCCGCCCUCCGCUCCGAGAAACCCUUCUACGCCGUCGGCCCCAUCUUCCCUGCCGGCUUCGCCCGCAGUGCCGUCGCCACCUCCAUGUGGGCCGAGUCCGACUGCUCCCACUGGCUGGACGAACAGCCGCCGGGGUCCGUGCUCUACAUCUCCACACCCCCUGCCUCCGCCACUGUACAUCUCCUUCGGCAGCUAUGCGCACGUCACCAAGCAAGAGCUGCACGAGAUCGCUGGGGGGUCCUGGCCCGCGGUACGAGGUUUCUGUGGGUGAUGCGGCCAGACAUCGUCAGCUCCGACGACCCGAACCCGCUGCCUGAGGGGUUCGUGGCCGCGUCCGCCGGGCGUGGCCUGGUGGUGCCUUGGUGCUGCCAGGUGGAGGUGCUCUCGCACACCGCGCUGGGUGGCUUCCUCACGCACUGCGGGUGGAACUCUGUGCUGGAGAGCGUGUGGGCUGGAGUGCCCAUGCUCUGCUUACCGCUGCUCACCGACCAAUUCACUAACUGGCGACUCAUUGUGCGGGAGUGGAGCGUCGGCAUGCCCAUCGGGGAUCGUGGUGCGGUGUUCGCGGACGAGGUGAGGGCGAGGAUUGCGGGCAUCAUGUCCGGGAAAGUGGGUGAGGAGCUCCGGGAGGCGGUGAAGAAGGUGAGGGCGACGCUCGAGGCCACCAUGACGCACGGUGGGUCAUCACAACAGAGCUUCGAUGAGUUUGUCGACGAGCUAACGCGCCGUUGCAGCGGACGUUAA